This 506-nucleotide ribosomal RNA is filed under the name uncultured bacterium. RNAcentral describes it as "partial 16S ribosomal RNA". It matches the Rfam family "Bacterial small subunit ribosomal RNA", at positions 30 to 523 of the family's 1533-position model. The record is from RNAcentral.
AUUGAACGCUGGCGGCAGGCCUAACACAUGCAAGUCGAACGGUAACAGGAAACAGCUUGCUGUUUCGCUGACGAGUGGCGGACGGGUGAGUAAUGUCUGGGAAACUGCCUGAUGGAGGGGGAUAACUACUGGAAACGGUAGCUAAUACCGCAUAACGUCGCAAGACCAAAGAGGGGGACCUUCGGGCCUCUUGCCAUCGGAUGUGCCCAGAUGGGAUUAGCUUGUUGGUGGGGUAACGGCUCACCAGGGCGACGAUCCCUAGCUGGUCUGAGAGGAUGACCAGCCACACUGGAACUGAGACACGGUCCAGAAUCCUACGGGAGGCAGCAGUGGGGAAUAUUGCACAAUGGGCGCAAGCCUGAUGCAGCCAUGCCGCGUGUAUGAAGAAGGCCUUCGGGUUGUAAAGUACUUUCAGCGGGGAGGAAGGGAGUAAAGUUAAUACCUUUACUCAUUGACGUUACCCGCAGAAGAAGCACCGGCUAACUCCGUGCCAGCCGCCGCCGUAA